UUGAAACAAGCUGAAGAUACUUAAGUUUAUUUAGUAUGUUUGUUUGUAUUUGGUGUGUUUAUGUAAUUUUAUUUGGUGUGUUUUUUGUAGUGAGUUUUUUAUUAUUUCGUAUGUUUAUGUAAUUUUAUUUGGUGUGAAUUAUUUGGUAUGUUUAUGUAUUUUUAUUUGGUGUGUGUUUUUUGUAGUGAGUUUUUUUAUUAUUUCGUAUGUUUAUGUAAUUUUAUUUGGUGUGAAUUAUUUGGUAUGUUUAUGUAUUUUUAUUUGGUGUGUUUUUUGUAGUGAGUUUUUUAUUAUUUCGUACGUUUAUGUAAUUUUAUUUGGUAUGUUUAUGUAAUUUUAUUUGGUGUGUUUUUUGUAGUGAGUUUUUUAUUAUUUCGUAUGUUUAUGUAAUUUUAUUUGGUGUGAAUUAUUUGGUAUGUUUAUGUAUUUUUAUUUGGUGUGUUUUUUGUAGUGAGUUUUUUAUUAUUUCGUAUGUUUAUGUAAUUUUAUUUGGUAUGUUUAUGUAAUUUUAUUUGGUGUGUUUAUGUAAUUCCAAUUGGUGAGUUUUUUAGUUUUAUUUGGUGUGUUUUAUAAUUUCAUUAUACGUGAACAAUUUGAUGAACAAAGAUUCUAUUAUUAGGAUAAAUAUAUUACAAAAUUAAAUACAUGUACUCUCACUUUAAAUAAAGUACUAACUUCAAUAAAAUGGAAACAACAUAAAUAAUAAAUUACAACCCACAGUGAUUGGAAAACUAUGGGCUCCGAUUACAAAAGUACCCUAUUCCUCACCACUUAACCAAUCUGUGGUGUUAGGAUCAUCUUGUCUUGUUGUGCUAGGACCAUCUUGUCUUGAUCUCGCUUCUCUUGCACGCCUCCUUUGCACCACAUCCGCUUUCUCCGACUACCAAAAAUAUUUAGAAUUUGGAGACAUCCCUUCUAAACGCGUGUUCAUAAUGUCACGAUCUCGUUGUGCAAUUCUUUCUUCUCUAAGAAACUCCAUUUCUUGCCUAAGUAGCUCUUUUUCUCUCUGUUCAGCUUGAAAUGCUUGUUGAAUAGCUGCAGCUUUUACCUCAUCUCUAGCCUUGUCAGCCUCAUAUUUCGCCAAUUCCCGCGCCAACGUCAAUUCACCUUGAUGAGCAAGUUCUUGCAUGUACUUUCCAUAAUCAUUUUUGGAAGCACUCCCUUUCCUCUUUGAAGCCUUCUUACCUAGAGGCCUAAUUGGAUAACGGGUCGACCCCGACGCUUGUUCAGGAAUGGGCGUUUCAGGCACUUCUUCUCCAUCUUCUUCAUCAACAUGGGAGCCAUGAUUGUGUGUAGAGUGUGGAAGGGUGUUGUGUACAAAGGUGUUGUGUAGAGGGAUGUUGUUCAUGCAUACUUCUGGACCAACAAGUACAACUUUGAAUUUAGGACAAUCUUUAACAAUAUUCCAACAUUCCCACCGGGUGAAUGAUUUGUUUCUUGAUUUGAUUUUGGCACCAUACCAUGCUUGUGCUUGAAGUUGCUACAAAU
RNAcentral lists this long non-coding RNA (1488 nucleotides) under Malus domestica (apple). RNAcentral describes it as "long non-coding RNA (MDOM_LNC010046)". The record is from RNAcentral. Lineage: Eukaryota; Viridiplantae; Streptophyta; Magnoliopsida; Rosales; Rosaceae.